Molecule: non-coding RNA, 926 nt
Filed under: Pionopsitta pileata (Pileated parrot)
Lineage: Eukaryota; Metazoa; Chordata; Aves; Psittaciformes; Psittacidae
Description: partial 12S ribosomal RNA
Rfam family: Bacterial small subunit ribosomal RNA
Source: RNAcentral
UAUAGCAUGGCACUGAAGAUGCCAAGAUGGAUACUUUCCCCCCAAGGACAAAAGACUUAGUCCUAACCUUACCGUUAAUUCUUGCUCAACAUAUACAUGCAAGUAUCCGCACCCCAGUGCAAAUGCCCCCAAACCCCUUACCAAGGCACAAGGAGCAGGCAUCAGGCACACUCCCCCAGUAGCCCAAGACGCCCUGCCCUGCCACACCCCCACGGGUACUCAGCAGUAAUUAACAUUAAGCAAUAGGCGUAAGCCUGACUUAGUUAGAGCAGCCAGGGUUGGUAAAUCUUGUGCCAGCCACCGCGGCCAUACAAGAAACCCAAAUUAACCGUACACGGCGUAAAGAGUGGCUCAAGACUAUCAAAGCAAAUUAAGACUAAACCCCGACCCAGGCCGUCACAAGCCCAAGAUCUCACGAAACCCAACCUAAAAACGGUCUUAACACCAACGACCAAUCCAACCCCACGAAAGCCAGGAUACAAACUGGGAUUAGAUACCCCACUAUGCCUGGCCCUAAAUCUCGAUGCUUCCCAAACAUAAGCAUCCGCCCGAGAACUACGAGCACAAACGCUUAAAACUCUAAGGACUUGGCGGUGCCCUAAACCCACCUAGAGGAGCCUGUUCUAUAAUCGAUAACCCACGAUCUACCUGACCACUUCUUGCCAAAACAGCCUACAUACCGCCGUCCCCAGCCCACCUUUGUGAAAGCACAACAGUGAGCCCAACAGCCUAUACUCCGCUAGUAAGACAGGUCAAGGUAUAGCCUAUGAAGUGGAAGAAAUGGGCUACAUUUUCUAAAAUAGAACACCUAACGAAAGGGGGCCUGAAACCCACCCCCAGAAGGCGGAUUUAGCAGUAAAGGAGGAUAAUCAAGCCUCCUUUAAGCCGGUCCUAGGGCACGUACACRCCGUACCUCUAUMGCCCAA